Molecule: ribosomal RNA, 481 nt
Filed under: uncultured bacterium
Lineage: Bacteria
Description: partial 16S ribosomal RNA
Rfam family: Bacterial small subunit ribosomal RNA
Source: RNAcentral
GAUGAACGCUGGCGGCGUGCUUAACACAUGCAAGUCGAACGAAGCACUUUAUUUGAUUUACUUCGGGACUGAUUAUUUUGUGACUGAGUGGCGGACGGGCGAGUAACGCGUGGGUAACCUGCCUUGUACAGGGGGAUAACAGUUGGAAACGGCUGCUAAUACCGCAUAAGCGCACAGCAUCGCAUGAUGCAGUGUGAAAAACUCCGGUGGUAUAAGAUGGACCCGCGUUGGAUUAGCUAGUUGGUGAGGUAACGGCCCACCAAGGCGACGAUCCAUAGCCGACCUGAGAGGGUGACCGGCCACAUUGGGACUGAGACACGGCCCAAACUCCUACGGGAGGCAGCAGUGGGGAAUAUUGCACAAUGGGCGAAAGCCUGAUGCAGCGACGCCGCGUGAGCGAAGAAGUAUUUCGGUAUGUAAAGCUCUAUCAGCAGGGAAGAUAAUGACGGUACCUGACUAAGAAGCACCGGCUAAAUACGUG